GACGAACGCUGGCGGAGGGACGAACACAUGUAAGUCGAACGGAAAGGCACUGCUUGCUGGGUAAUUGAGUGGAGAAGGGGUGAGUAAUAAGUGGGUGAUUUGUUUUGUACUUUGGGAUACGCCUGGGAAAAUGGGUCUAAUACCGGAUAGGAGCCAUUUUUAGUGUGAUGGUUGGAAAGUUUUUUCGGUGUAGGAUGAGCUCGCGGCCUAUCAGCUUGUUGGUGGGGUAAUGGCCUACCAAGGCGGCGACGGGUAGCCGGCCUGAGAGGGUGGACGGCCACAUUGGGACUGAGAUACGGCCCAGACUCCUACGGGAGGCAGCAGUGGGGAAUAUUGCACAAUGGGCGCAAGCCUGAUGCAGCGACGCCGCGUGGGGGAUGACGGCCUUCGUAUUGUAAACUCCUUUCGCUAGGGACGAAGCUUUUGUGACGGUACCUAGAUAAGAAGCACCGGCUCCCUACGUC
This 464-nucleotide ribosomal RNA is filed under the name uncultured bacterium. Its description in RNAcentral is "partial 16S ribosomal RNA". It matches the Rfam family "Bacterial small subunit ribosomal RNA", at positions 28 to 507 of the family's 1533-position model. The record is from RNAcentral.